Molecule: ribosomal RNA, 210 nt
Filed under: uncultured bacterium
Lineage: Bacteria
Description: partial 16S ribosomal RNA
Rfam family: Bacterial small subunit ribosomal RNA
Source: RNAcentral
UACGUAGGGGGCAAGCGUUGUCCGGAAUUAUUGGGCGUAAAGCGCGCGCAGGCGGUCAUUUAAGUCUGGUGUUUAAAACCUUGGGCUCAACCUGGGGUCGCACUGGAAACUGGGUGACUUGAGUACAGAAGAGGAAAGUGGAAUUCCACGUGUAGCGGUGAAAUGCGUAGAUAUGUGGAGGAACACCAGUGGCGAAGGCGAACUUUCUGG